This 230-nucleotide ribosomal RNA is filed under the name uncultured bacterium. RNAcentral's name for it is "partial 16S ribosomal RNA". It matches the Rfam family "Bacterial small subunit ribosomal RNA", at positions 562 to 791 of the family's 1533-position model. The record is from RNAcentral.
AAAGCGUGCGCAGGCGGUUUGUAAGACUGUCGUGAAAUCCCCGGGCUCAACCUGGGAAUGGCGAUGGUGACUGCAAGGCUAGAGUUUGGCAGAGGGGGGGUAGAAUUCCACGUGUAGCAGUGAAAUGCGUAGAUAUGUGGAGGAACACCGAUGGCGAAGGCAGCCCCCUGGGUCAAAACUGACGCUCAUGCACGAAAGCGUGGGGAGCAAACAGGAUUAGAUACCCCGGU